AUUGAACGCUGGCGGCAGGCCUAACACAUGCAAGUCGAGCGAGCGGCGGACGGGUGAGUAAAGUCUGGGGAACAGCCUGAGGGAGGGGGAUAACAACGGGAAACGGGGGCUAAUACCGCAUACGCUCAGAUGUGCCCAGGUGGGAUUAGCGAGUGGGUGGGUGAACGGCUCACAUAGGCGACGAUCGCGAGCGGGUCUGAGAGGAUGACCAGCCACACUGGAACUGAGCAACGGUCCAGACUCCUCCGGGAGGCAGCAGUGGGGAAUAUUGCACAAUGGGAGCAAGCCUGAUGCAGCCAUGCCGGGGGUGGGAAGAAGGCCUGCGGGUUGUAAAGCACUUUCAGCGGGGAGGCGUUACCCGCAGAAGAAGCACCGGCUAACUCCGUGCCAGCAGCCGCGGUAAUUC
This 406-nucleotide ribosomal RNA is filed under the name uncultured bacterium. RNAcentral's name for it is "partial 16S ribosomal RNA". It matches the Rfam family "Bacterial small subunit ribosomal RNA", at positions 29 to 526 of the family's 1533-position model. The record is from RNAcentral.